This is a long non-coding RNA of Cucurbita maxima (winter squash), 627 nucleotides long. RefSeq lists it as uncharacterized. The record is from RefSeq and is a predicted model, not a curated record. The transcript has 3 exons. NCBI's taxonomy places the organism in Eukaryota, Viridiplantae, Streptophyta, Magnoliopsida, Cucurbitales, Cucurbitaceae.
AGCGAGACGAGAGCUUUGAUUCCUUCCAAAACUGUACAAUUUUGUUCAAUCCAUGGCUACAAAUUUGGGCGAGGCAAAAGGAAGCUUCAUCAAAAGGUAAUCAUCUUCAUCGUUCGCCUAGUUUCCACACAAGGGACGUUGCAAGAUGACGAUGGACUUCCGAUCAAACUCGCUUGGCAGAACGACGCUAUCGCUGAAUCCUCUGCGCAUCGGAUUCCGUCCACCGAAGGUGUGUCAAUUCCAAGUCUCUUGUGAAAAAAGAAUGCCUGCUCUACAUCUCAACCCUCAAAGAUUCAGACAUCUAAUUGCUUUAAGUUUUCAAGCUUUGGUCGGUGACAAUUAUGGGGCUGUAGUCUUAGCCAAUGUCAAUCAAGCCAAGCAAUCAUAACUAGGCAAUGAGAUGAAGGUUAAGACAUCUAACUGCUUCGAGUUUUCAAACUUUAGUCGGCGACAGUUACAAGGUUGUAAUCUUAGCCAAUGUCUAGAGCCAAGUGACACGAUCAUGCUCGUCCAGGGCGUAUUGUCCAUGGCCCCCAUGUUCAUGCCGCGCUAAACCCUCUAUUUUGUUCCAUGUUGUAUUACCCUACUAUUGUAUUUUCUGUUUGUAUAACUGUUCAGCGAAAUCAU